GAUGAACGCUGGCGGCGUGCCUAACACAUGCAAGUCGAACGGAGAUUACGGACGGAAGUUUUCGGAUGGAAGACUGUAAUUCUUAGUGGCGGACGGGUGAGUAACGCGUGGGCAACCUGCCCUAUACAGGGGGAUAGCAGCUGGAAACGGCUGGUAAGACCGCAUAAGUCGGGGAGACCGCAUGGUUUUGCCGGGAAAUGAGCAAUCAGGUAUAGGAUGGGCCCGCGUCCGAUUAGCCAGUUGGCAGGGUAAAAGCCUACCAAAGCAACGAUCGGUAGCCGGACUGAGAGGUCGGACGGCCACAUUGGGACUGAGACACGGCCCAAACUCCUACGGGAGGCAGCAGUGGGGGAUAUUGCACAAUGGAGGAAACUCUGAUGCAGCGACGCCGCGUGAGUGAAGAAGUAUUUCGGUAUGUAAAGCUCUAUCAGCAGGGAAGAUGAUGACGGUACCUGACUAAGAAGCCCCGGCUAACUACGUG
Molecule: ribosomal RNA, 481 nt
Filed under: uncultured bacterium
Lineage: Bacteria
Description: partial 16S ribosomal RNA
Rfam family: Bacterial small subunit ribosomal RNA
Source: RNAcentral